GAUGAACGCUGGCGGCGUGCCUAAUACAUGCAAGUCGAGCGAACAGACGAGGAGCUUGCUCCUCUGACGUUAGCGGCGGACGGGUGAGUAACACGUGGAUAACCUACCUAUAAGACUGGGAUAACUUCGGGAAACCGGAGCUAAUACCGGAUAAUAUAUUGAACCGCAUGGCUCAAUAGUGAAAGACGGUUUUGCUGUCACUUAUAGAUGGAUCCGCGCCGCAUUAGCUAGUUGGUAAGGUAACGGCUUACCAAGGCAACGAUGCGUAGCCGACCUGAGAGGGUGAUCGGCCACACUGGAACUGAGACACGGUCCAGACUCCUACGGGAGGCAGCAGUAGGGAAUCUUCUGCAAUGGGCGAAAGCCUGACGGAGCAACGCCGCGUGAGUGAUGAAGGUCUUCGGAUCGUAAAACUCUGUUAUUAGGGAAGAACAAAUGUGUAAGUAACUAUGCACGUCUUGACGGUACCUAAUCAGAAAGCCACGGCUAACUACGUG
RNAcentral lists this ribosomal RNA (497 nucleotides) under uncultured bacterium. RNAcentral describes it as "partial 16S ribosomal RNA". It matches the Rfam family "Bacterial small subunit ribosomal RNA", at positions 28 to 507 of the family's 1533-position model. The record is from RNAcentral.